RNAcentral lists this long non-coding RNA (2160 nucleotides) under Toxoplasma gondii VEG. Lineage: Eukaryota; Apicomplexa; Conoidasida; Eucoccidiorida; Sarcocystidae. The record is from RNAcentral.
GUCGGGAAAAGUGACUCGGUCCGGUGUAGGCUAUAACAUCGACAGGGCGGAGACCCGUCGUCGUCAUCGUCGCUAUCACUACGUGCUGAACUUCCAUGAAAAGGGCAUUUCCUUCUGUCUCUGCGGCAUGUGUAUGAUGACUGCAAGCAGCCCCUUUUUUCGACAGUGGGCCGCCUCGAGUUAAUAAAACAACAGCCGCUGACAGGGCGCUUCUGUGCUUCAGAGGUUCGUUCACCCAAUGGUAAAAGGCAUGUAUUUGUGUUUGAGGCGGAAACUGCCGAAGUUGUUCGGACCUCUUCGAAAGAAGAUGCACCUGUUCCUGAAAGGUCACAUCUUGAACCGACUUCAGACACACUUCUUUUUCGUUUUCCGCUCCGCUCUGUGUCCGAUGGGGUAUUCGCGGCCAACCCGUCUAUGUGCUCAACGAGGGUGUCGGCGCUGGAUCUGGUAGAUGUGCAGGACUCUCUACUACACGUGUUAGUGUCUCGGUCUUGGACGGGCGUAAGUCCCUGGGAAUCUGUUCCCUCUCCCAACGCAGAACACAAAUCCGCCAAAGGAGAGCUAAUACCCUGUUUUGAGUCAGGCUGUUUCUCAUGUUCAUGCUCUUGUUCGUUUGAUCCUUUCGUAGGCUGACGAUGCAUGUCCUCUCCCGCUCGAGACGGGUCUCUUCCACAAUUGCCGCUAUGUGAUACACUGCGUCCGUCCACCUGCGGCCGUGUGUCGAAUGGCGUUCCACAGUUUUCACAUACCGAAAAAGGCGUCCCUCGAAUGCGACGAAGCCAGAUGCGGUGCUGCUGACCUGCGCCAGCUUCCGUGUUCCUGUGAGACGAAGGUGCCUUUGCAUUUUCUCGUUUGCUGUAAGAACAGCCGUUUGUGUUGCAAGGUGCGCUAUACGAGCAGGAAGACGACGGCAGAAAGUUCUUUCCGACAUUAUGGUGGCUUACAGUAGAAAUGCACUCUGAUGUCGAAGGCGUGUUCGAGAAAAGCCUGUGUCCAUAUAUGAAGAACGAUUGCGGAGGGUCGCCGCCAUCAUGUGGUCGUUCAACAAACAAUGAACAACAGUCCUGCCGGAGUUCCGCCCUGUUAUUGUAGGUGUCCGGGAGGCAAGAUGGAAUUCCUCUUCUGUCCACAUUCGACGAAAUUCCGCGGUUCUCCGUCAGGGACAAGCGAGAGGCUCCACCGGGGCUUUCUCGCAUGACAUGGCGAACACCGGUAUCUCUGCCCUGGAAUUGAAUCGACAGCGCGCGACGAGCCUCCGCACUGCUCUCCUGUUGGGUGGUGUCUCCUCUUCUGACCACACUUUCCGCACCACACUGAGUGCCAGGGUUGGAUGGCAUCUGAGGAAAGUCUGCCGUUUGCAUCUCAGGGACAGAACCCGUUGAUCCGGAUUCAUGUGUCACCGCUUGUUCAUCCCCUGUUUGAAGCCAUGCAAUGCUGUUAUCUGGCUGCUUGGUUGCACCACCUGCAAACAAGUAAGCGGAGGAAGGCUGGGCAAGGCGACCUACGUAGGCAGAGGGGCAACCGUCACAAGAAGACAAAGCAACGCUGGAGGGUGCUUCAGCAUUUCUGAAAGAUAUGGGAGACCCCUGGAACUGGGCAGCCUUCUUUUGGUUGUUGCUCUCGUUGGAUGGCAAGACUGUUUUCCUCCAUAUUCCACUGGAAAACGUUUUUUUCGUGAACGAUGGUUGUGUGAAAGGCACCUCUGCUACAUUCUUUCUGCCAGGACAUACGGUUUCCUGUCCGUCAGUAUCGGCUGCGAUUGAACACAAUAGCGGCUUUGGCGACACGAUCGCCGUUUGCCAUCGAUCCGGUUCGUCGUUUUGGCAAACUCCGACUCCGGCAGAUGGCCGUUGUGCAUUGCUUUCUUCCGGCUGAAGAACAAUGGUUUCGUUCGUGUUUUCAGAGGCACCUAAGUGACCAGCAAAUCCAGCAGCACUAGUGUUAUCCGACUCCGCCUCACUGCAGUUCGGGACUCCAGUCAGUUUGGCAGCCAUCUUCACCCAUUCGUUUCGCAAUUCGGGCUCAUAAUGCGUGUUGCCUUAACAAGCAGUCGAAGUGAGCAGCUGGGUCGAAACCCAACAAGGUCGUCCGUUCCGCAGUGGGCCUUCCUGGAAACUGGGGAACGGUGAGUUCCGUAGACUCAUGCGUCUAAGAGAGGCA